AGCAGCCGCGGUAAUUCCAGCUCCAAUAGCGUAUAUUAAAGUUGCUGCAGUUAAAAAGCUCGUAGUUGAAUUUCGGGACCAUCAUGUCGGUCGUGCUUCGGUACGUACUGGCAUUGUUGGUUUCUACCUUCUGACGAACCAUGAUGUCAUUUAUUUGGUGUCGUGGGAAAUCAGGACUGUUACUUUGAAAAAAUUAGAGUGUUUAAAGCAGGCUCACGCUUGAAUACAUUAGCAUGGAAUAAUGAAAUAGGACGUUUGAUUCUAUUUUGUUGGUUUCUAGGAUCGACGUAAUGAUUAAUAGGGAUAGUUGGGGGCAUUAGUAUUCAAUUGUCAGAGGUGAAAUUCUUGGAUUUAUUGAAGACUAACUACUGCGAAAGCAUUUGCCAAGGAUGUUUUCAUUAAUCAAGAACGAAAGUUAGGGGAUCGAAGACGAUCAGAUACCGUCGUAGUCUUAACCAUAAACUAUGCCGACUAGGGAUCGGAUGAUGUUAAUUUUUUAAUGACUCA
This 507-nucleotide ribosomal RNA is filed under the name uncultured Glomus. Its description in RNAcentral is "SSU rRNA". It matches the Rfam family "Eukaryotic small subunit ribosomal RNA", at positions 569 to 1078 of the family's 1831-position model. The record is from RNAcentral. Lineage: Eukaryota; Fungi; Glomeromycota; Glomeromycetes; Glomerales; Glomeraceae.